AGCGGCCGCGGUAAUUCCAGCUCCAAUAGCGUAUAUUAAAGUUGUUGCAGUUAAAAGCUCGUAGUUGAAUUUCGGGAUCAAUUAGUCGGUCGUGCCUCUGGUACGUACUGGUUUUAUCGGUUCCCCCCUUCUGACGAAACAUGAUGUCAUUAAUUUGGUGUCGUGGAGAAUCGGGACUGUUACCUUGAAAAAAUUAGAGUGUUUAUAGCAGGCUAACGCUUGAAUACAUUAGCAUGGAAUAAUGAAAUAGGACGUUCGACCCUAUUUUGUUGGUUUCUAGGAUCGACGUAAUGAUUAAUAGGGAUAGUUGGGGGCAUUAGUAUUCAAUUGUCAGAGGUGAAGUUCUUGGAUUUAUUGAAGACUAACUACUGCGAAAG
This 377-nucleotide unclassified non-coding RNA is filed under the name uncultured Glomus. Its description in RNAcentral is "SSU rRNA". It matches the Rfam family "Eukaryotic small subunit ribosomal RNA", at positions 569 to 951 of the family's 1831-position model. Lineage: Eukaryota; Fungi; Glomeromycota; Glomeromycetes; Glomerales; Glomeraceae. The record is from RNAcentral.